This 972-nucleotide small RNA is filed under the name Pan troglodytes (chimpanzee). Its description in RNAcentral is "processed transcript". Lineage: Eukaryota; Metazoa; Chordata; Mammalia; Primates; Hominidae. The record is from RNAcentral.
CGGGUCCUGAGUCGCGACCCUGGUCCGGACCUGACCUGAAUUGCGACCCCAACCUGGACUGCUCCCCUGACCGCAACCCCUACCCCCGCCCACCAGCAUGGCCCGGCACGUGUUCCUAACGGGGCCCCCAGGAGUUGGAAAAACAACAUUGAUCCAUAAAGCCAGUGAGGUUUUAAAAUCCUCUGGUGUGCCUGUUGAUGGAUUUUAUACCGAAGAAGUCAGACAGGGAGGGAGAAGAAUAGGAUUCGAUGUCGUCACGUUGUCCGGCACCCGGGGGCCUUUAUCGAGAGUUGGGUUAGAGCCUCCACCUGGAAAACGUGAAUGCCGAGUUGGGCAGUAUGUGGUCGACCUGACUUCUUUUGAGCAGUUGGCACUACCCGUCUUGAGGAAUGUCACCAAGGAAAACAGAAACCACCUUCUGCCAGAUAUCGUGACGUGCGUGCAGAGCAGCAGGAAGUGAAGACACAUGCAUUCCGUGAAGGAGUGCCCAGUUCAAGAGGAGCCUGAUGGAGCCCUGCCUGUCGAGGCUGUAUGCCUAUGGGGUUAUGGAACCUUGUGGGCUUUUCUAGAGAAAACUCAACAGCUGUUUCCCAUAAAAUGUUUAAAAGAUCAAAUUAGCCUUAAUGCUGGAUUGUCUGUACAAGAUUAACUAUCCAUUGUGGCUUAUCUAUGCUUAAAGAUUUCUUGUUUAUUUCCUCUUGCAGUCAUGCACAUGAUUUGGGUAAACUGUGAGAUGAGAAAUGGUUUUCAGAGUAUUAGAUGGAAUUCACCCCCGUUGAAGUUUAUAAAUGUGUUCAGGGGAAGGGGGAGGAAAGAGUUCACUGCCUAAUCAGUUUUGCAUGUCAUGAAAAUUAAAUUCCUCUCCAGGUGCAGCUUCAGCCUCAUGCAACUUAAAGUGAUAACAGUUAUUUGAUUUUUUAAAAAAUAUUAUUCCAAAAGAAAACCAUUUUAGGUCAUCUCCCCCAACUCUGU